RNAcentral lists this ribosomal RNA (498 nucleotides) under uncultured bacterium. RNAcentral describes it as "partial 16S ribosomal RNA". It matches the Rfam family "Bacterial small subunit ribosomal RNA", at positions 28 to 507 of the family's 1533-position model. The record is from RNAcentral.
GAUGAACGCUGGCGGCGUGCCUAAUACAUGCAAGUCGAGCGAACAGACGAGGAGCUUGCUCCUCUGACGUUAGCGGCGGACGGGUGAGUAACACGUGGAUAACCUACCUAUAAGACUGGGAUAACUUCGGGAAACCGGAGCUAAUACCGGAUAAUAUAUUGAACCGCAUGGUUCAAUAGUGAAAGACGGUUUUGCUGUCACUUAUAGAUGGAUCCGCGCCGCAUUAGCUAGUUGGUAAGGUAACGGCUUACCAAGGCGACGAUGCGUAGCCGACCUGAGAGGGGGGAUGGCCACACGUGGAAAGGAGCAAGGCACAGACCCCAGCGGGGGGGAGGAAGAGGGGAAUUGUCGGAAAGGGGGAAAAGCAGGAGGGAGCACGGCGGGGGGAGUAAAGAAGGUUUAGGGAUCAAAAACCUUUUUUAUGAGGGAAGAAAAAAGUUGAAAGAAACAAUGCACGUCGGGACGGAAGAUAAUAAGAAGGCCACGCCAAACACGGGG